UAGGGAAUCUUCCACAAUGGGCGCAAGCCUGAUGGAGCAACACCGCGUGAGUGAAGAAGGGUUUCGGCUCGUAAAGCUCUGUUGUUAAAGAAGAACACGUAUGAGAGUAACUGUUCAUACGUUGACGGUAUUUAACCAGAAAGUCACGGCUAACUACGUGCCAN
Molecule: ribosomal RNA, 164 nt
Filed under: uncultured bacterium
Lineage: Bacteria
Description: partial 16S ribosomal RNA
Rfam family: Bacterial small subunit ribosomal RNA
Source: RNAcentral